UUGACAUCCAGAGAACUUGGCAGAGAUGCUUUGGUGCCUUCGGGAACUCUGAGACAGGUGCUGCAUGGCUGUCGUCAGCUCGUGUUGUGAAAUGUUGGGUUAAGUCCGCAACGAGCGCAACCCCUAUCCUUUGUUGCCAGCGAUUCGGUCGGGAACUCAAAGGAGACUGCCGGUGAUAAACCGGAGGAAGGUGGGGAUGACGUCAAGUCAUCAUGGCCCUUACGAGUAGGGCUACACACGUGCUACAAUGGCGCAUACAAAGAGAAGCGACCUCGCGAGAGCAAGCGGACCUCAUAAAGUGCGUCGUAGUCCGGAUCGGAGUCUGCAACUCGACUCCGUGAAGUCGGAAUCGCUAGUAAUCGUAGAUCAGAAUGCUACGGUGAAUACGUUCCCGGGCCUUGUACACACCGCCCGUCACACCAUGGGAGUGGGUUGCAAAAGAAGUAGAUAGCUUAACCUUCGGGAGGGCGUUUACCACUUUGUGAUUCAUGACUGGGGUGAAGUCGUAACAAGGUAGGCGUACGUGU
This 527-nucleotide ribosomal RNA is filed under the name uncultured bacterium. RNAcentral describes it as "bacterial SSU rRNA". It matches the Rfam family "Bacterial small subunit ribosomal RNA", at positions 981 to 1509 of the family's 1533-position model. The record is from RNAcentral.